RNAcentral lists this long non-coding RNA (4197 nucleotides) under Canis lupus familiaris (dog). RNAcentral describes it as "lncRNA (ENSCAFG00845028827.1)". Lineage: Eukaryota; Metazoa; Chordata; Mammalia; Carnivora; Canidae. The record is from RNAcentral.
AGUAUUCUGACUCUAGAGCCUUCGGUUUUAAGCAUUACACUAUAUUGUCUGUUAUGUUGGAGGUAAAAUAUGGUGUAGCAUUGUUUUAAACUUGCAUUUCUUGGGGACGCCUGGGUGGCUCAGUGGUUGAGCAUCUACCUUUGGCUCAGGGCAUGAUCCUAGAGUCCUGGGAUCGAGUCCCACAUCAGGCUCCGUGCAUGGAGCCUGCUUCUCCCUCUGCUUCUGUCUCUGUCUCUCUCUCUCUCUGUCUCUCAUAAAUAAAUAAAUAAAAUCUUUAAAAAAAUAAAAAAAUAAACGUGCAUUUUUUAAGUUCUGUGGGUUUUUUAUUAUUUUGCAUAUGUUUAUGAGCUUUUUUAUUUCUUUUUUUUUUUCCCCUAAAAAUAACCUUCUCUGUCUAUUGCCAUUUGCUUUUGGGCUGUUGAUUGUUUUUGCUAAUCUGUUCAUUGAACUCUUUGUAUAUUCAGGAAAUUAGUACUUUUGUCAAACAUGUUGCAAACAUUUCCUGCCAGUGUAUCUGUCAUUUAAUUUUUUUGUUUGUUUGUGGCCUUUUUUUUUUCUUUUCCACCAUGGACAUGUCUUUAAUAUUUAUGUAGUCAAAUUUAUUGCUCUUUGUUUCUUUGCUUCAGGAUCUUAUCCUUUGAAUGGCUUUUUGGGUUUUGUUUUUGUUUUAAGAUUUUAUUUAGAUAAAAUUUAUUUAUUUAUUUAUUCAUGAGAGAUACAAUGAGAGAGGCAGACACACAGGCAGGGCGAGAAACCGGCUCUAUGCAGAGAGCCUGAUGCAGGACUUGAUCCCAGGAUCCCGGGAUCAUGACCUGAGCCAAAGACAGACGCCCAAUCGCUGAGCCACCCAGGUGUCCCUGAAUGGCUUUUUGUAAAUUCCAAUGUUUAAAAAAAUAAUUCAUGGGCAGCCCCGGUGGCUCAGAGGUUUAGGGCCACCUUCAGCCAGGGGCGUGAUCCUGGAGACCCGGGAUCGAGUCCCAUGUCGGGCUCCCUGCAUGGAGCCUGCUUCUCCCUCUGCCUGUGUCUCUGCCUCUUUCUCUCUCUCUGUGUCUCUCAUCAAUCAAUAAAUAAAAUCUUAAAAAAAAGAAAAAACACAAGUUUAAAAAUAAUAAUAAUAAUAAUGCAUGCAGUUUGUUUUUAUAUUUAUAUUUUUGUUCCCCCUAGAAUUUAUUUUGGUGACUAGACUGAGAUCAGGCUCCAGAUGCCUAACUAGUUGUCUGAGCAUCAUUCAUGGAAUAAACCAUCUACUCCCCUCUGACUUGAAAUGCCACCUUUAAUGUAAUUAUUCCUUAGUUUAUCUGGAUCUGGGGGAUCCCUGGGUGGUUCAGUGGUUUAGCGCAGCCUUCAGCCCAGGGCCUGAUCCUGGAGUCCCGGGAUCGAAUCCCACGUCAGGUUCCCUGCAUGGAGCCUGCUUCUCCCUCUGCCUGUGUCUCUGCCUCUCUUUCUCUCUAUGUCUCAUGAAUAAAUAAGUAAAAAUCUUUAAAACAAAAUUUAUUUGGAUCUGUUUCUGGAUCCUCUAACCCAUUGUUCUUGGGAGAGAGGUGCUUAUUUUAGGUUGUCUCUUUAAAAUCCAAUCCUGGCUUGGUCCUGUGUGAAUUCUUUAGUUAGAAUUUCAUAAACACUAGGAAAUUGUAGAUCAUAAUAACAGACGAUUUCAAGCUUCUAAUAAAACUGUAUUCAAGUUUAGUCUUUCUUUAGAUUGGUUGCCUUCAGGCACCAGUGAUGAUGGUGAUGAUGGUCUUUCAUUAGACCAGAUUCAACCUUUUCAAAGUUGGAAAGCCUCAUAAAGGUCCCAUUCACAAAACAUGCCUCAAGAUAUUCUCAUCUUUGGCUUCAGUUCUCUGAUGCCUGAAAUUAGACCUCAGGAAAUCUUGUUUUUUGGAUUAUGAUCAUCUGCAUUGAAUUACAAGUGUACUUUGUUACCUAUAGGUAGUGUAUAAAUUGUACCUCAUCGAGGGCAACCACCUGCAUGAACUUAGGAGUCACACUGCCUGGUUUAAAUUCUAGCUCUGCUGAAAUGUGUGACCUUGGACAAGUGACUUAAUGUCUCUCGUCUCAAUUCCCUUAGGGUGUGAAAUGGGGAUAGUCUUAGUUGUCUGUGAGCCUUAAACAUUUGUGACAUGCCCCAGAGGAUACCGAGGCAUAGUGAGUGCUCAGUACUUUUGGCAUCACUCAAGACCACCCAGUAAAAAGGGGUACUUACUCAGGUUAUCUUAAACAGAAAAGGGGGAAUUUAUUAUAAAGAUAUAGGAGAUUUAUAACAGAUCCCAAAAGUAAGUAUAGUUUGGGCCUUACAGGUUCCUACAAUGUGGAAGGUAGAAUGUGGUCAGAAAUAGAGAUUUUUUUUUUUUCCAUCUGUUUUUCACUGGAGUGUUUUAUUCUCUGCAAGCCAGCCAGCAUGAUUUGUUUCCUAGCUGGCAACCAUCACCCUUGGAUAUCUAAGUUGGGCUUGUACCUUUUUUUGCAAACUAGUCAGUCUUACUAAUGUCAUAGAGAAUGAGAAGGAGGAAAAGAAUAUUGGUCAGUUUGAGUGGAGAAAGACCAUAGAAGAUAAAGGUUUCCUGCUUUUGCUUUGAACCAGUGGAUCUUUAAAAAAAAAAAAAAAAAAAAAGUAAUAACUUUCCAACAACCAGUUACCAGUUUUUGUGUAUUUUUUCAAAGGUUGUAUGCCUAUACAAGAAAUAGAAAUAAUAAAUAGAAACAUAUAUUUUAUUCAUCCCUGUUACCUUUUACACAAAUUAUAACAUACCAUGCUACUUACAUUAAGAUUAAGAGAUAUAUUUUGGGAGCACCUGACUGGCUUGGUCAGAGCAUGUGACUCUGAAUUUCAGGGCUGUAAGUUUGAGCUCCACAUUGUGUGUAGAGAUUACUUAAAAUCUUAAAAAAAAAAAUAUAUAUAUAUAUACACACACACACACACAUAUAUAUAUUGAAUAGCAUUACAUAUUAGUGAGUAAAGAGCCUUCUUAUAGCUGGGUAGUAUUAUGCAGAUGAUAUGUUAGACUUUUUUGUUUUGUUUUGUUUUUUAGUGUGUUACACUUUAAUCAGUAUCCUGUUGUUGAACAUUUAGUUGUUGAAACCAUGCAGAGAUGAAUAACUUUGUACAUGUGUUGUUUUGCAUCUUUGUGAGCAUACUUGUGGGAUAAAUUUGUAGAAAUGAAAUUAUACAAAGGGUAUUACAUUUUUAAGUUACCUCUACACCCAACAUGGGGGUUGAACUUACAACCCUGAAGUCUAGAGUUGUGCACUCCAUCCUCUGAGCCAGCCAGGCACCCAAAGGAUGCUGCAUUUUUUUUUUUUUUUUAGAUUUUAUUUAUUUAUUCAUGAGAGACACAGGGAGAGAGAGAGAGGCAGAGACACAGGCAGAGGGAGAAGCAGGCUCCACACAGGGAGCCUGAAGUGGGAUUCAAUCCCCAGGAUCAUGCACUGGGCUGAAGGUGGUGCUAAACCGCUGAGCCACGCGGGCUGCCCAGGUGCUGCAUUUUCAUAGACAUUUCCCAGUUGUCGUCCAAAGAGGUUACAACCCCUCCAGCCACGUGUCAAAUUCUCUGGCAAGUUUCGGAGUCUUGAUAGAGUCAAUUAGAUCUCUAAGUUGUUUGCUUUCAGCCCAUACUCCUUCCCAGAUAUUAAAGGGUUCUAGAACAACUUCUCCCUCAAAAUUUGCAUUGUUAAAAAAAACACAUUAUUUGGUGCUUUCUAAUUUGUAACAGCCAAAAGUCAGCAACAUGUACUUCUGACCAAGUUACUAGCCCAACUCUGAACAAUCCCUGUUCCGUGGCUUCUGUAUAUUCCCUUAGAGUUCUACACACAGUACAGUUCUGUACCCAGCAAGCAGGAAAGAGAUGGAUGGCUGCAAGUACAGAAACUACUUCAAAACUUCUCUAUAGAUUACGAAUUUCCUUUUUUUUUUAUUGUGAAUUUCUGAUUCUAUUUUCUUCCCCUCUAUUGGGAACUGCUAUUAUAUCUCCCACACACACAGCUUAAAAGAAGAAUAUUCUAGGGAUCCCUGCGUGGCGCAGCGGUUUGGCGCCUGCCUUUGGCCCAGGGCGCAGUCCUGGAGACCCGGGAUCGAAUCCCACGUCGGGCUCCCGGUGCAUGGAGCCUGCUUCUCCCUCUGCCUGUGUCUCUGCCUCUCUCUCUCACUGUGUGCCUAUCAUAAAUAAAUAAAAGUUUAAAAAAAAAAUUAAAAAAAAAAAA